GAGUUUGCUAGGCAGUAGCAAGAACUGCUAAUUACUUGCUCCCGUAGUUCAACUCCACGGCUAACUCA
RNAcentral lists this transfer RNA (68 nucleotides) under Anomaloglossus megacephalus. RNAcentral's name for it is "tRNA-Ser". Lineage: Eukaryota; Metazoa; Chordata; Amphibia; Anura; Aromobatidae. The record is from RNAcentral.